AUUCACUUCAUUAGAGUGUCACAGACAUUGACAAUAUAAAGACUGAAAUACUCACGUCUAAGUUGUUCUGGGGAGGAUUGGCUUUGCUGAGGAUGACAAAUAGACUAACCCAGGUUCUCUCAGUUGUAUACUUUCAUGUAAGCACUAAUCUCUAAUACACCUGAUGCCAUAAAAUUUGCC
This is a long non-coding RNA of Mauremys reevesii (Reeves's turtle), 180 nucleotides long. RefSeq lists it as uncharacterized. The transcript has 3 exons. Lineage: Eukaryota; Metazoa; Chordata; Testudines; Geoemydidae. The record is from RefSeq and is a predicted model, not a curated record.